CCUACGGGUGGCAGCAGUGAGGAAUAUUGGUCAAUGGGCGCAAGCCUGAACCAGCCAAGUCGCGUGAAGGAUGAAUGCCCUACGGGUUGUAAACUUCUUUUAUAAAGGAAUAAAGUGAGGCACGUGUGCCAUUUUGUAUGUACUUUAUGAAUAAGGAUCGGCUAACUCCGUGCCAGCAGCCGCGGUAAUACGGAGGAUCCGAGCGUUAUCCGGAUUUAUGGGGUUUAAAGGGUGCGUAGGUGGGCUGUUAAGUCAGUUGUGAAAGUUUGCGGCUCAACCGUAAAAUUGCAAUUGAUACUGGGAGGCUUGAGUAUGUUUGAGGUAGGCGGAAUGCGUGGUGUAGCGGUGAAAUGCUUAGAUAUCACGAAGAACUCCGAUUGCGAAGGCAGCUUACUAAACUGUCACUGACACUGAUGCACGAAAGUGUGGGUAUCAAACAGGAUUAGAUACCCUUGUAGUC
RNAcentral lists this ribosomal RNA (460 nucleotides) under uncultured bacterium. RNAcentral describes it as "partial 16S ribosomal RNA". It matches the Rfam family "Bacterial small subunit ribosomal RNA", at positions 338 to 795 of the family's 1533-position model. The record is from RNAcentral.